GUUAGACGAAUAACCUGGAAAGGUUAAUCAUAGAAGGUAAUAAUCCUGUAGUCGAAAACGUAUACCCUCCUGAGUGGAUCCUGAGUACGGCGGAGCACGUGAAAUUCCGUCGGAAUCUGGGAGGACCAUCUCCCAAGGCUAAAUACUCUCUAGUGACCGAUAGUGAACCAGUACCGUGAGGGAAAGGUGAAAAGUACCCCGGAAGGGGAGUGAAAGAGAACUUGAAACCGUGUGCUUACAAGUAGUCAGAGCCCGUUAAUGGGUGAUGGCGUGCCUUUUGUAGAAUGAACCGGCGAGUUACGAUCUGAUGCAAGGUUAAGCAGAAAAUGUGGAGCCGUAGCGAAAGCGAGUCUGAAUAGGGCGAAUGAGUAUUUGGUCGUAGACCCGAAACCAGGUGAUCUACCCUUGGUCAGGUUGAAGUUCAGGUAACACUGAAUGGAGGACCGAACCGACUUACGUUGAAAAGUGAGCGGAUGAACUGAGGGUAGCGGAGAAAUUCCAAUCGAACUUGGAGAUAGCUGGUUCUCUCCGAAAUAGCUUUAGGGCUAGCCUCAAGUGAUGAUUAUUGGAGGUAGAGCACUGUUUGGACGAGGGGCCCCUCUCGGGUUACCGAAUUCAGACAAACUCCGAAUGCCAAAUAAUUUAAC
Molecule: ribosomal RNA, 647 nt
Filed under: Staphylococcus agnetis
Lineage: Bacteria; Bacillati; Bacillota; Bacilli; Caryophanales; Staphylococcaceae
Description: bacterial LSU rRNA
Rfam family: Bacterial large subunit ribosomal RNA
Source: RNAcentral